Hydra vulgaris (swiftwater hydra) is the source of this 506-nucleotide long non-coding RNA. RefSeq lists it as uncharacterized. Lineage: Eukaryota; Metazoa; Cnidaria; Hydrozoa; Anthoathecata; Hydridae. The record is from RefSeq and is a predicted model, not a curated record.
AUAUUUUAAUAAAGUUAUAUUUUAUAACCUAUUUUUAUUGAGAAUAACUUAAAACUUAGAUUUUAUAUCAAAUUGUAUAAAUAUACAAAUAUCUCAGGGUAAAUUCGACAGACUAAAUCAAGUCUGUUAACAUACUAAAUUCUUAAUUUAUUUAAAAAACUUUGAACACGUCACCCUAAUUAUCAAGUACAUACUUUAGUAUGAGUCUUCCACCAAUAAUAAAAGGUUGAAGCAAAGGCAUUUAUUCCAUCUUGUUAAGUGAAAGAUGGAUGUUUAUUUUGUUCAACUGGUGUUCAUGCAAUGAAAACUGCCUAUAAUCAUUUUCCAAUCGAUGAUUCCUGCAACAAGCUCAGACUUAAAAGAAUUAAAGUAACUGGAGAUAAAGAAGUAUGUGAAGGAUUUAAUUUCCCAACUACAGAGUACUCCAAAGAAUAUUCUGUAUCUCAAUAAUAUCCUGACCUAUCGAAUCGAUAUCUUGGUAAUACACUUACACACAUAAAUCUUUU